CCGUCCCCUCUCUCAGAGUUAAUUGCUUCUUUUGGAAAGUAUCUCCUGGACUUUAAGCGGUUCAACUGUGAUUUAUCGUCUGAAUCUUUUUAUCUGAGAACAAAUUGAUUUCUGUGGAAACUCUUUUUCAUAGUUUUGCCAGCAGAACAGAGCAGCUAUUUCAGGAGAAAGUCAAUAAAUGCCCCCUGAGAGGCGUGUGAAGCACACAACAUAUCCAGUCCGCACCGCAGUCUCCUAAUAUGUUCCCACAGGAGCGGCCCGGUGUGCGUGUUCAACUUGGAGGGUUUCCUCCGCCCUGCUGCUUCUGAAUAAGGUGGAGCUUCCGGACGCCAGCGGUCGUGAUCCUGAGUCACAUCGGUCUCCACUGAGGGAUGAUGGGUAAACGCUGCAGCUGUACGGGAACACCACCGCGUUCUUUGGUGCGCAUGCGGCAUGUUAAUACCUCAUUAGGAGCGGGAUGUGAGUCACCCUCGCCCACGUCCCUCGGCAUAGGAGGAUAAUCAUCUCGCAGAGCUUAUCCACGAGAAGAUGCAUUUCUCCUCCAUGGCACAUAACGUGAUGAUGGUCACACUACCAGUGGAGGGCGGCCGCUCUAAGUCACUACAGCUCCUCCUUAAAGAACACUUUUGGACACCACUACAGCUCCUAAUGCCCCUCCAGUUGGAGCAAUAAGGGAGAGCCAGCAGGGUAGGGAAGCAUUUUUAGAUUCAGCCAUUAUAUCCGUUCUUUUUUGGAGGCUGGAAAGCUUUCGGCUCUGUGUAUAAAACUGAAUUACUUAAUAAACUGUCCUGCUUUAACCCCCCAA
Oryzias latipes (Japanese medaka) is the source of this 805-nucleotide non-coding RNA. Lineage: Eukaryota; Metazoa; Chordata; Actinopteri; Beloniformes; Adrianichthyidae. The record is from RefSeq and is a predicted model, not a curated record.